AGAACGAACGCUGGCGGCAUGCCUAAUACAUGCAAGUCGAACGAACACUUCGGUGUUAGUGGCGCACGGGUGCGUAACGCGUGGGAAUCUGCCCUUGGGUUCGGAAUAACAGUUGGAAACGACUGCUAAUACCGGAUGAUAUCGAAAGAUCAAAGUAUUUAUCCGCCCGAGGGAUGACGCCCGCGUAGGAUUAGC
This 195-nucleotide ribosomal RNA is filed under the name uncultured soil bacterium. RNAcentral's name for it is "partial 16S ribosomal RNA". It matches the Rfam family "Bacterial small subunit ribosomal RNA", at positions 26 to 245 of the family's 1533-position model. The record is from RNAcentral.